GACAGAGGGUGCAAACGUUGUUCGGAAUUACUGGGCAUAAAGAGCACGUAGGCGGUUCAUCAAGUCGUGCGUGAAAUCCCCCGGCUCAACCGGGGAAUUGCGUUCGAUACUGACGAACUUGAGAUCGGUAGGGGUGAGUGGAACUCCAGGUGGAGCGGUGAAAUGCGUAGAUAUCUGGAGGAACACCGGUGGCGAAAGCGACUCACUGGACCGACACUGACGCUGAGGUGCGAAAGCUAGGGUAGCAAACGGG
RNAcentral lists this ribosomal RNA (253 nucleotides) under uncultured bacterium. RNAcentral describes it as "partial 16S ribosomal RNA". It matches the Rfam family "Bacterial small subunit ribosomal RNA", at positions 524 to 776 of the family's 1533-position model. The record is from RNAcentral.